AAGACUAUACUUUCAGGGAUCAUUUCUAUAGUAUGUAAUCUUGCAAUCUUGUAACCUAUUAUUAACUACAAAUAAAAAU
RNAcentral lists this small nucleolar RNA (79 nucleotides) under Erinaceus europaeus (western European hedgehog). Its description in RNAcentral is "Small nucleolar RNA U3". It matches the Rfam family "Small nucleolar RNA U3", at positions 1 to 78 of the family's 219-position model. Rfam says of the family: Small nucleolar RNAs (snoRNAs) are involved in the processing and modification of rRNA in the nucleolus. There are two main classes of snoRNAs: the box C/D class, and the box H/ACA class. The record is from Rfam by way of RNAcentral. Lineage: Eukaryota; Metazoa; Chordata; Mammalia; Eulipotyphla; Erinaceidae.